This is a long non-coding RNA of Lathyrus oleraceus (garden pea), 851 nucleotides long. RefSeq lists it as uncharacterized. The record is from RefSeq and is a predicted model, not a curated record. The transcript is spliced from 3 exons. NCBI's taxonomy places the organism in Eukaryota, Viridiplantae, Streptophyta, Magnoliopsida, Fabales, Fabaceae.
UUACGUUUUAGAAUGAGAAAUUUAAUUCACAUAUUGGUAUCAAUUUUUCAAAAAUUAUUAAUAUUAAUAUUGAUUUUGAAGAAAAUUAUAUUCACAUGUGGAUGGGUGAGAGGUAUAAUAGUUAACAUGGUUGUUCAUAGUUUGUAUCUUUCGACUAAACUGAUUAGAUUCUGAUGAUAAUUAUUUGAUUAUCUUUUCAUGUGUGAUAUCUUCGAUUUCAUGGCCACGAUUGCAGUAGUAACGGGGGCAUUCCAAACUUUAGAAAUUGAGCUACACCGACUCUUUGUGCUCAGGAAGGAUGUAUGAGAUUCUUUUGCUUUGGGGGUGCUCCAACAGGCAUCUGGUAUCUUAUCGAUUACUUGAAAAAUCUGUCAAUUCUGUAAUAGAUGAUACUAAAACGUGUUCAUGGAAACAAUGAGAGAUCAUGGAACUUCUAUUUUAUGCGAUAUCUUCAAUCUUCAGAAUUACAAUUGCAGUUGUUGCAAUUAAGGCGUUAUAAGAAUUCCGGUAUCAACAUUACAAUUGUGAUUGUUUACAUUGCGGUUGUGGCAUUACAAUUGUGAUUGUAGUCAUUGCAGUUGUUGCAUUACAAGUAUUACGGUUGUGGUGUUACAAGCAAUGUGGUUGCGACAUCAGAAUUGUGAUUUCUUCCGUUGCGGUUUCAGUGUUACAAUUGCAGUUGCAGUGUUACAAGCAUUUGACAGAAUCUCAUGGUGGACAUAAUGUUAUUUAGGGUCUUGACUCUUUCUUCAAUAUUCAUAAUCCUAUGAGAGUUUUGCUUAGAUUUCUUUGUAAUUUGCACUACUGGUCUGAACAUAUAUUUCUUUUGUCUUAAAUUUAUUUUUUGAUUA